UGGGGAAUAUUGCGCAAUGGGCGAAAGCCUGACGCAGCGACGCCGCGUGAGGGAUGACGGCCUUCGGGUUGUAAACCUCUUUCAGUAGGGACGAAGCGCAAGUGACGGUACCUACAGAAGAAGCACCGGCCAACUACGUGCCAGCAGCCGCGGUAAUACGUAGGGUGCAAGCGUUGUCCGGAAUUAUUGGGCGUAAAGAGCUCGUAGGCGGUCUGUCACGUCGGCUGUGAAAACCCGAGGCUCAACCUCGGGCCUGCAGUCGAUACGGGCAAACUAGAGUACUGCAGGGGAGACUGGAAUUCCUGGUGUAGCGGUGAAAUGCGCAGAUAUCAGGAGGAACACCGGUGGCGAAGGCGGGUCUCUGGGCAGUAACUGACGCUGAGGAGCGAAAGCGUGGGGAGCGAACA
This 407-nucleotide ribosomal RNA is filed under the name uncultured bacterium. Its description in RNAcentral is "bacterial SSU rRNA". It matches the Rfam family "Bacterial small subunit ribosomal RNA", at positions 355 to 774 of the family's 1533-position model. The record is from RNAcentral. RNAcentral also lists the same sequence under 1 other name.